UACGGAGGGUGCGAGCGUUAAUCGGAAUUACUGGGCGUAAAGCGCUCGCAGGCGGUUUGUUAAGCUAGAUGUGAAAGCCCCGGGCUCAACCUGGGAUGGUCAUUUAGAACUGGCAGACUAGAGUCUUGGAGAGGGGAGUGGAAUUCCAGGUGUAGCGGUGAAAUGCGUAGAUAUCUGGAGGAACAUCAGUGGCGAAGGCGACUCCCUGGCCAAAGACUGACGCUCAUGUGCGAAAGUGUGGGUAGCGAACAGG
This 253-nucleotide ribosomal RNA is filed under the name uncultured bacterium. Its description in RNAcentral is "partial 16S ribosomal RNA". It matches the Rfam family "Bacterial small subunit ribosomal RNA", at positions 524 to 776 of the family's 1533-position model. The record is from RNAcentral.